CUCCCUAAGGGUAAUGUGCUUGCAUCUUGAACAUUUUGUGCAGUUCUGUUCAUCACUGAAGGGCUGAUCCAUCUCUCAGGGGCAGCACCUGAAUGAGGACCAGCUGAAGAGGUGUGCACCUGGUCUGGCAAUGGGAUGACUGAAGGCAGCAUGAAGAGCACUUACAGCUGGUGCCAGACUCAGAAAGUACAGAAAAUGCAGUGAAACAAAGGUGGGCUGGGCAGAACACCAGCCAAGUAUUUUGACCUCCACCAUGGGCUGGAUUUUAACAUGGGGUAAAACCAUACAGCUGAAAG
Numida meleagris (helmeted guineafowl) is the source of this 296-nucleotide long non-coding RNA. NCBI's taxonomy places the organism in Eukaryota, Metazoa, Chordata, Aves, Galliformes, Numididae. The record is from Ensembl.